AUGGUGACAUAGGUAGAUCCCACUUCUGUACUUCUCAUAAUAAGCUCAACUAGCAACUAUACACAUAAGACAUCACUGGGCAAUUCUCAGGACUCAGGGGUGAUGCUGAACACCCCCUGGACUACAAAGAUCAAUAGGGACAGCAUCAGAAGGUUAAGUGGAGUCGUUUCCCUAUGACCACAGUACACUUCUCCAUGGGCCAGCACAGUGCCCCACCGUGGGGGACCACCUAGAACUAGGGUUCUUCUCCCAAGAAGAAAAGAGCCCAGAGUAGGUCAAUGACACCGUGGGCAUUGUGCCUUGGGGAGGAUGGCUUUUCCUGAAUGAGUCAUUAUCCUUCAGUGGAACCACUUUAAAAUUAUCCAAAAGCCUUCUUCAUCAUCAACAUCGACUCUGCCAGAUGACACCUUAAACCUAUGCCCAAAAUGUUUAAUCAUCCGUAUCCUCUCUCCACCCACUCCCACAUCUGCACCUGGAAAGAAGCUACUUAAGACAUUGCAGUGACCAAAGAGAGCUCCCGACCAGAACUUCCCCACCUUUCAAGAGUUGUCCAGGAUCACCUGGUUGGUAUGGUCGUCUGGGCAUCUGCCUUGAUCCCAGAAUCAUGGGAUCGAGCCCCACACUGAGCUCCCCACUCAUUGAGGAGUCUGCUUCUCCUUCUCCCUCUGCCCCUCCCCCGACUCCUGCAAGCUCUUGCAUGCUCUCUCUGUGUCCCUUUCUCAUAUAAAUGAAAUCCCUUGGGAA
Long non-coding RNA from Canis lupus familiaris (dog), 744 nucleotides. RefSeq lists it as uncharacterized. NCBI's taxonomy places the organism in Eukaryota, Metazoa, Chordata, Mammalia, Carnivora, Canidae. The record is from RefSeq and is a predicted model, not a curated record. The transcript is spliced from 3 exons.